GCUAGCCUGGUGGGAGGGGGCGAAGUCUCUGAGCCAUCCUGUGUUAUUAGACUGGCUUGCAGUACCUCUAGUUACGAUACACAGUUGCUGUGGGUCCAUUCAGAGCAAUGGCAAGGUUUUGGGUCCAGUGUCGCAAAGGCAACACUGUUGGGAUGCAGUGAUGAUUAGUGUCUCUUAAGAAUGUGAGAUCACACAGAUUCUGGAGAAGUUUGGUAAUCCUGAUAUCACUGCACAGCCCACAAACAGUAGCCCCAAAAUGGAAGCAUCUUAUAAUGAGAUGUUAUCUUCACACCGAGGGACAUUUCAGGGAAGUAAAUAGCAGUUUGUGGAAUAAAGCAAUUGAAAAUAUGCAAGUAC
RNAcentral lists this long non-coding RNA (357 nucleotides) under Anas platyrhynchos platyrhynchos (common mallard). Its description in RNAcentral is "lncRNA (ENSAPLG00000018156.1)". The record is from RNAcentral. Lineage: Eukaryota; Metazoa; Chordata; Aves; Anseriformes; Anatidae.